This 142-nucleotide ribosomal RNA is filed under the name uncultured eukaryote. Its description in RNAcentral is "partial 18S ribosomal RNA". It matches the Rfam family "Eukaryotic small subunit ribosomal RNA", at positions 1299 to 1453 of the family's 1831-position model. The record is from RNAcentral.
UGGUGGAGUGAUUUGUCUGGUUAAUUCCGUUAACGAACGAGACCCCCGCCUGCUAAAUAGUCUUGCUUACAAUUUUUGUAGGUGAAGACUUCUUAGAGGGACUUUUGGUCGAUUAGCCAAAGGAAGUUGGGGGCGAAUAACA